AAACGUAAUUUUUGUUCCCGAAAGGAUUUGCUUAAUUGCAAAGAUGCCUUGUAACCGUAUUUAAUUAAGGGGGAAAUUUUCAAG
This 84-nucleotide small RNA is filed under the name Pediococcus cellicola. RNAcentral's name for it is "SAM-III sequence". It matches the Rfam family "SAM-III riboswitch aptamer (SMK box)". Lineage: Bacteria; Bacillati; Bacillota; Bacilli; Lactobacillales; Lactobacillaceae. The record is from Rfam by way of RNAcentral.